Molecule: ribosomal RNA, 171 nt
Filed under: uncultured rumen bacterium
Lineage: Bacteria
Description: partial 16S ribosomal RNA
Rfam family: Bacterial small subunit ribosomal RNA
Source: RNAcentral
CUACGGGAGGCAGCAGUGGGGAAUCUUCCGCAAUGGGCGAAAGCCUGACCCAGCAACGCCGCGUGAAGGAAGAAGGUCUUCGGAUUGUAAACUUCUUUUAUGAGGGACGAAGGACGUGACGGUACCUCAUGAAUAAGCCACGGCUAACUACGUGCCAGCAGCCGCGGUAAU